AUGACACUUAAGCACAGAAACUUCGGUCCAUUUGGAUCGUGGUCGCUACAUACGGUUGUUGCUAAAGUCUUCAAGCUCAAUCAACAUGGCGCACUGCAUAGCUUCAUUGCUGAGUGCAAAGCAAUUCAACACAUCUGUCACUGGAAUCUCGUGAAGGUUAUAACUGCAUGCUCAACUUAUGACCAAGUGGGAAAUGAGUUCAGGGCUCUAGUCUUUGAGUAUAUGGUCAACGGUAGCCUUGAAGACCGACUUCAUAACCACCGGUGUGGUGAUUUGAGUUUAGGUGCAGUUAUAUGUGUCGUGGAAUAG
RNAcentral lists this ribosomal RNA (309 nucleotides) under Triticum aestivum (bread wheat). RNAcentral describes it as "partial small subunit ribosomal RNA". The record is from RNAcentral. Lineage: Eukaryota; Viridiplantae; Streptophyta; Magnoliopsida; Poales; Poaceae.